GGUGAGUGGCGCAAGGGUGAGUAAGGCGACGGUAACCAACCCCGAGACUGGGUAUAGCCGCGGGAAACCGCGGGUAAUCCCCAGCGAUGUCACGAAGGGGCAUCUCUUUGUGACCAAAGCUCCGGCGUCUUGGGACGGGCCGUCGUGGUAUUAGGUAGUUGGCGGGGUAACGGCCCACCAAGCCUGAGAUGCCUACCGGGCGUGCGAGCGUGGCCCGGCACACUGGGACUGAGACACUGCCCUGACUCCUACGGGAGGCUGCAGUCGAGAAUCUUCGGCAAUGGGCGCAAGCCUGACCGAGCGACGCCGCGUGGAGGACGAAGGCCUUCGGGCUGUAAACUCCUGUCGAGGGGGAAGAAGCCGCAAGGUUGACUGAUCCCUGGAGGAAGCACGGGCUAAGUUCGUGCCAGCAGCCGCGGUAAGACGAACCGUGCGAACGUUAUUCGGAAUCACUGGGCUUAAAGCGCGUGUAGGUGGGACGGCACGUCGGUCGUUGAAAUCCCCCGGCUCAACCGGGGAAGGGGCGCCGAUACGACCGUCCUGGAGGGACGUAGGGGGACCUGGAACUUCCGGUGGAGCGGUGAAAUGCGUUGAGAUCGGAAGGAACGCCCGUGGCGAAAGCGAGGUCCUGGACGUUUUCUGACACUGAGACGCGAAAGCCAGGGGAGCGAACGGGAUUAGAUACCCCGGUAGUCCUGGCCGUAAACGAUAGGCACUGGGGUAGGGGGCUCGCCGAUGGGCUCCCUGCCGUAGGGAAACCGUGAAGUGCCCCGCCUGGGGAGUAUGGUCGCAAGGCUGAAACUC
Molecule: ribosomal RNA, 804 nt
Filed under: uncultured Planctomycetia bacterium
Lineage: Bacteria; Pseudomonadati; Planctomycetota; Planctomycetia
Description: bacterial SSU rRNA
Rfam family: Bacterial small subunit ribosomal RNA
Source: RNAcentral